Molecule: non-coding RNA, 429 nt
Organism: Pantherophis guttatus
Lineage: Eukaryota; Metazoa; Chordata; Lepidosauria; Squamata; Colubridae
Source: RefSeq, a predicted model, not a curated record
AUUUCUUCUGCGUUUUUUGUGCUUGAAGGUGUUGUCUAAAUCCAUCCAAGCGUGACUGGAAAAAAAACAUGGGCUUGGCCUAAGAUCUCAAAUAGAAAGAACCUCUGUUCAAUUGAAGGAAGUAUCAAGCAAAGGAAAACUGAAGUAAAAUAUUACUCCUCAACCUAUGACCAUUCAUUCAAUGACAACUUAAAAGUUAUGACAGGGAUGAACAAAUGAUGGCUACAACUUCAGAGUUUCGGAUAUCAAAGCACUUCUGCUGUCAUCAGAUUGCAAACUGGGCAUUUGGCAAAUGAAGGAAGGAAGAAGGAAAGAAGGAAGGAAAGGAAGGAAGGAAGGAAGAAUCCAGUGAAAGAAUAAUUCCUUUUCAUUUAUUUCAAUUCAUAUUAUGCACUUUUAUUAAGGGUUAUAAGAUAUAUCUGAAUGUAA